UGGGGAAUAUUGCACAAUGGACGGAAGUUUGAUGCAGCGACGCCGCGUGGAGGGCGUAGGCCUUCGGGUUGUGAACUCCUUUUUCUCGCGAAAAAGGCACAGUUUUGGCUGUGUUGAUGGUAGUGGGGGCAGAAGCGCCGGCUAACUACGUGCCAGCAGCCGCGGUAAUACGUAGGGCGCGAGUGUUGUCCGGAUUUAUUUGGCGUAAAGGGCUCGUAGGUGGUUCGUCGCGUCUGUCGUGAAAGCCAGCAGCUUAACUGUUGGUCGGGGGUGGGUACGGGCGGGCUUGAGGGCGGUAGGGGAGAGUGGAAUUCCUGGUGUAGCGGUGGAAUGCGAAGAUGUCAGGAGGAACACCGAUGGCGAAGGCAGGUCACUGGGCCGUUACUGACACUGAGGAGCGAAAGCGUGGGGAGCGAACAGG
RNAcentral lists this ribosomal RNA (421 nucleotides) under Fusobacteriota bacterium. Its description in RNAcentral is "Fusobacteria bacterium partial 16S ribosomal RNA". It matches the Rfam family "Bacterial small subunit ribosomal RNA", at positions 355 to 776 of the family's 1533-position model. Lineage: Bacteria; Fusobacteriati; Fusobacteriota. The record is from RNAcentral.